RNAcentral lists this ribosomal RNA (253 nucleotides) under uncultured Sphingomonadaceae bacterium. RNAcentral's name for it is "partial 16S ribosomal RNA". It matches the Rfam family "Bacterial small subunit ribosomal RNA", at positions 524 to 776 of the family's 1533-position model. The record is from RNAcentral. Lineage: Bacteria; Pseudomonadati; Pseudomonadota; Alphaproteobacteria; Sphingomonadales; Sphingomonadaceae.
UACGAGGGGAGCUAGCGUUAUUCGGAAUUACUGGGCGUAAAGCGCGCGUAGGCGGUUUUUUAAGUCAGAGGUGAAAGCCUGGAGCUCAACUCCAGAACUGCCUUUGAAACUGGGAAACUUGAAUCUUGGAGAGGUCAGUGGAAUUCCGAGUGUAGAGGUGAAAUUCGUAGAUAUUCGGAAGAACACCAGUGGCGAAGGCGACUGACUGGACAAGCAUUGACGCUGAGGUGCGAAAGCGUGGGGAGCAAACAGG